UACGUACCGUCCAAACGUUAUUCGGAAUUACUGGGCGUAAAGCGUGCGUAGGUGGUGAGUUAAGUCUGUCGUGAAAGCCCCGGGCUCAACCUGGGAAUGGCGAUGGAUACUGGCUCGCUAGAGUGCGGUAGAGGAGAGUGGAAUUCCCGGUGUAGCAGUGAAAUGCGUAGAGAUCGGGAGGAACAUCAGUUGCGAAGGCGGCUCUCUGGACCAGCACUGACACUGAGGUGCGAAAGCGUGGGGAGCAAACAGG
This 253-nucleotide ribosomal RNA is filed under the name uncultured bacterium. RNAcentral describes it as "partial 16S ribosomal RNA". It matches the Rfam family "Bacterial small subunit ribosomal RNA", at positions 524 to 776 of the family's 1533-position model. The record is from RNAcentral.